AUCAAUAAGCAACUAGAUAAACCGAGAAUUCUUAGGAAACUCAAGAAUGUGGCGGAUCCAUUCACUCCCUCCACCAGAUCUGGACGGAUAUGGACUGAGGCACUUUGCCAGAGCUGGGGGCACACCUGAUCCACGCCCCACACGGCUUCCAUUCUGACAGAAGGUCUUGUGUCACCACCUGCAAACGCACGUGAAGUAGAAAGAGCUGUGGGCACCCCCGGGGAGAUGUGACCAGCCCAGGCGUCAGGAAGAGCCACCUUGAUGAAGCAAUGUGUAAGCUGAGAGCUGUAGGACCAAAGGAGCUGACAAGGUAAAGAAGCACAAAAGAACAUUCCAGAUUAAGGGAGCUCAGGUGGGCCCUCAUCUCUAGUCUCCAGUGGAAAGAAAUCACACUCCAGGAAGAUGAUCUUCAGCACACAUUACGUCUUAAACGUGAAAACAGGCGAGAUAGAUAGAAAGAUCUUGUAAUGUCCUCGUGUGAGCUACAGGGACACGGGGACACGUGCAGACAGCCCCCUGAGGUGGUCCCUGCUUUGGGGAUCCCCACCCGCUCCCUCCAGCUCCCCGAGGCUGAUGGACAGGCACGGAUCCUCCUUCAGUUCUGAGAAUGAAGAAGUCCACGUUCCACCCACCCCGUGGCGACCACCGCCUCGCCCCUCCCAAGCGUCACUUCCCUCAUAUCUUGUUCUGUGGUCAGGGAGCAAAGAAGGAAGGAAUCUGAGGACAUGUCCACUCUUCACUUACCAAACACAGAAACUGACAGCUCUCUCCCUGCCGGCCCCGCUCCCGUCACAUGAAGAACAGAACAAGAAGCAACAACUAGUCUCCUUCCUGCUUCCUUCUCAAAUGAGCUAAAGAAAUUAUUCCGACACUUGUUCAAACGGUAAGGAAGACCUUGUUCAAGACUAUGGGAGUGAGGCUCCACUCCGAACGCAGCAAAGAUGGCUGAAUAUAGCAAAGAUGGUCCAGGCUUACAGCCCACGCGCAGAGGGAGAGGUCGGUGGGUGGAUGCAAAGCCACCAAGGAGACAUCCAGGGUCGGGGUGCUGGCUACGCUGACUCAGCAGGUUCCUGCAGAAGCAGUGAGGGCCAUCAGACCCCGGGCAGGGGUGAGGACCUCGCCCAGGCAUCUGGAGUAGGGAAUCUGGCUAAGCUGACUCGGCAGGAUUCUGUGCUGAGAUCGUCUUCCAAAGGCCAAGGACAAGGAGCCUGUCUGAAGCCUGGUCAAGGGGAGGCUCUUUGUGAACCACCAGAGUUAAACUGGGGCAACUUGUGUGUGUGUUUGCACACCUGCACAUAGCGUGUGUGUGCACAGACGUGUGUUUAAUUAUGGAAAUGGAAGAUGCAGAAGCAAGAGUAUUUUUAGUUGAGACAAGUUGCUCCCUCAGGCCCAGUUAACUCCAGGCUGUGUGGGGAUCUUCCCCCGCCCACAUCUAGAGAUGUGAACCAGCAGGGGUUUGCUCCAUCACUUAUCUG
This 1475-nucleotide long non-coding RNA is filed under the name Equus caballus (horse). RNAcentral describes it as "lncRNA (ENSECAG00000054888.1)". Lineage: Eukaryota; Metazoa; Chordata; Mammalia; Perissodactyla; Equidae. The record is from RNAcentral.